UACAGAGGGUGCGAGCGUUAAUCGGAAUUACUGGGCGUAAAGCGUGCGUAGACGGUUAUUUAAGUCGGAUGUGAAAGCCCCGGGCUCAACCUGGGAAUUGCAUUCGAGACUGAAUAGCUAGGGUGCGGUAGAGGGAAGCGGAAUUUCCGGUGUAGCGGUGAAAUGCGUAGAUAUCGGAAGGAACAUCAGUGGCGAAAGCGGCUUCCUGGACCAGCACCGACGCUCAGGCACGAAAGCGUGGGGAGCAAACAGG
RNAcentral lists this ribosomal RNA (253 nucleotides) under uncultured bacterium. RNAcentral describes it as "partial 16S ribosomal RNA". It matches the Rfam family "Bacterial small subunit ribosomal RNA", at positions 524 to 776 of the family's 1533-position model. The record is from RNAcentral.